AGGUCAGGUGAAACUUAUCUCGCCUCAUUAGUUGCUUGUUGUUUUUCUCAGAGAGUUGGACCACGCCCAUUAGAAAGUGUAAUCAAAAGAAAGAAAGUGAAAGUGAUAGAAAGAAUAAGAAGUGAAUAUAGGCAAGCAGUUCUACUUAGAUCAGCUUCAUCUCUAUUGAUUGAACUCCACCUAGACCAGUUCGUCAAUAAGUCAACCUUUGGCCAAGGUUUACGACACUAAUUUAUACUAAAGUAUUUUUUUCCUUGAACUGUGAAAGAAAGUGAAUUGAGAUCCCCUUCGAAAGAUAUAUUUUUCAUCAAAAUCGACUAAAAAUUGGAAAGGUUUUAAGAAUAAUCCCUUCUAAGUAUUUAACAAACCAACUUGGUAGGCCUUUUUUAAAACCCUAAAAUAUCCUUAGUCUUUGUCAAAUAUUUAUUUUCAUUCAAGCAAGAUACUGAAACUAAAAAGAAGGAAACAACCCAAAUAGCACUUAUGGAUAUGGUCGACUCUAACAUUGAAGAGAGGCCACAAGCAGCCGCUGAUGAUAAAGAACAAAUGAUGGCAAAAUAUCCGAAUUUUCGUAAACUGAUUUUGAGGCGGAGCAUUGCCAAACCAGUGAAAUUUUUCGAUUCAGGUGAUUAUCAAAUGGCGGCACAGAAUGUUGGCAUAGCAUCGACUGGCAAGAUAAUACCCACACCGGAAACGGUGAGCAUUCGCAAGGUGCCCUCCCCGGUGAAAGGCAAAUAGCCAAAAAUCGAGCACUUAAGCUGCUGGCAGUAUGUCAACCAUCAAUUGUUUGUAAUAAACAUUUCCUCCUAAAAGUAUA
This is a long non-coding RNA of Drosophila willistoni, 817 nucleotides long. RefSeq lists it as uncharacterized. The transcript is spliced from 2 exons. Lineage: Eukaryota; Metazoa; Arthropoda; Insecta; Diptera; Drosophilidae. The record is from RefSeq and is a predicted model, not a curated record.